RNAcentral lists this ribosomal RNA (464 nucleotides) under uncultured bacterium. Its description in RNAcentral is "bacterial SSU rRNA". It matches the Rfam family "Bacterial small subunit ribosomal RNA", at positions 331 to 792 of the family's 1533-position model. The record is from RNAcentral.
CCAGACUCCUACGGGAGGCAGCAGUGAGGAAUAUUGGUCAAUGGGCGAGAGCCUGAACCAGCCAAGUCGCGUGAGGGAAUAAGGCCCUAUGGGUCGUAAACCUCUUUUGUCAGGGAGCAAAGGCGUCCACGUGUGGACGAGAGGAGAGUACCUGAAGAAAAAGCAUCGGCUAACUCCGUGCCAGCAGCCGCGGUAAUACGGAGGAUGCGAGCGUUAUCCGGAUUUAUUGGGUUUAAAGGGUGCGUAGGCGGAGUGUAAAGUCAGGGGUAAAAUUUGGGGCCCCACCCCCGACAAGCCGUUGAAACUGGCUUGCUAGAGUGGGCGAGAAGUAUGCGGAAUGCGUGGUGUAGCGGUGAAAUGCAUAGAUAUCACGCAGAACUCCGAUUGCGAAGGCAGCAUACCGGCGCCCAACUGACGCUCAGGCACGAAAGCGUGGGUAUCGAACAGGAUUAGAUACCCGGGUA